Molecule: long non-coding RNA, 99 nt
Organism: Myotis brandtii (Brandt's bat)
Lineage: Eukaryota; Metazoa; Chordata; Mammalia; Chiroptera; Vespertilionidae
Exons: 3
Source: RefSeq, a predicted model, not a curated record
GCUUUAUUGCACUUCACAGAUGUUGUGCUUUUUACAAAUUGAAAGGAAACCCUUCACCAUCAAAAGAUUAUGACUUACUUUAUUGCAAUACAUGCUUUA